This 407-nucleotide ribosomal RNA is filed under the name uncultured bacterium. RNAcentral's name for it is "partial 16S ribosomal RNA". It matches the Rfam family "Bacterial small subunit ribosomal RNA", at positions 30 to 526 of the family's 1533-position model. The record is from RNAcentral.
AUUGAACGCUGGCGGCAGGCCUAACACAUGCAAGUCGAGCGGAGCGGCGGACGGGUGAGUAAUGCCUAGGAAUCUGCCUGGUAGUGGGGGAGAACGUCCGGAAACGGGCGCUAAUACCGCAUACUAUCAGAUGAGCCUAGGUGGGAUGAGCUAGUUGGUGGGGUAAAGGCAUACCAAGGCGACGAUCCGUAGCUGGUCUGAAAGGAUGAUCAGUCACACUGGAACUGAGACACGGUCCAGACGCCUACGGGAGGCAGCAGUGGGGAAUAUUGGACAAUGGGCGAAAGCCUGAUCCAGCCAGGCCGCGUGUGUGAAGAAGGCCUUCGGAUUGUAAAGCACUUUAAGUUGGGAGGCGUUACCAACAGAAGAAGCACCGGCUAACUUCGUGCCAGCAGCCGCGGUAAUUC